AUAUAUAUAUAUAUAUAUAUAUAUAUAUGUGGACAGAAAUGAAGCUGAACCAACCAAAGGGUUUACAUGACAUGCCAUCGCCGAUCCCAGGCUAGUGCUUUCGAGGCUUUGAUGGCUUGGUCCUCCUCUGCUUCCCAAAAAUUCCACAAAGCAUGCAGCCGGAGACCUCAGGAGAAGGUGGAUCCAUGGAAGGUGGGACGUGCGCGGUGCGAAAUGGCUGCAUGCCGUUGCUGCGGCUACGUUUCAUCAUCCCGAUGGAUCCGACGCUUUGAGAGUGCCUCAGCUCCCCGAAUUCGAAGCCUUCCUCCUCUUUCUUCAUCUCAUUCAGCUCCCCUGAGAAGAACCUAUCAUCCCAUACCAAACCAGAUGACCCAGACCUCCUGAAGGUCUGAACAGAUCUCUGCAGCCCUGCCAUCUAUCUCUCCGAUACAGAAUUCUGUGAUGAAAGGAAGGAGGAGAGUUACAAUGAGAAGAAUAAUACAUGAUUGUCC
Molecule: long non-coding RNA, 491 nt
Filed under: Elaeis guineensis (African oil palm)
Lineage: Eukaryota; Viridiplantae; Streptophyta; Magnoliopsida; Arecales; Arecaceae
Description: long non-coding RNA (EGUI_LNC006216)
Source: RNAcentral